This is a long non-coding RNA of Formica exsecta, 843 nucleotides long. RefSeq lists it as uncharacterized. The record is from RefSeq and is a predicted model, not a curated record. NCBI's taxonomy places the organism in Eukaryota, Metazoa, Arthropoda, Insecta, Hymenoptera, Formicidae. The transcript is spliced from 3 exons.
AUACUGACAAAAAGAGUAGAAAAACUUGCCGAAGGAUACCAGGUACCAGGACCACAGGCUCAUCAUGUAUAUAUAUGUAUACAUAUAUCUAUAAAAGCAAUCUACGAUUGCGGGCACACUGCCACAAGAGGAAUUAAUCCUGGGUCUGCCGUUUCCUAAACUUCUACAAUUUCGCAAGCGAGGCAUAUCACGAAGGAAAAUAAAGAAUGUGACGAUGAUCGCCAGAGCUAAAAAGAUUCUACUGACAAGUUAUCAAAGUUUGCCGCCACAGCGUGCUUCGGUCACAGACAAGAUGGGUGUGUCUUGCGGUAAAGUACAAACAUUGCUACGUCCCUUGGGAAAUGCGCAGCUGUCCAGCAACUCUCAUAAUUUCACAGUAUUAUACGGAGAAAUAAUGCAAUUUUUAAACACAUUGAUUGAUCAUGAAUUAAUCAAAAGCAAAAAAAAAAAAAUUAAUCACGCGAUUUUGUAAUUAAUAUUAAAUUUUUAAAUAUUAUUAUAUUAUUAUUUCUAGUACUUUUAAUAAUAGAAAGACCGCAAGAUGAUCUAAAUGUAUCAAGACUGCAUUCUUCAAGAUUUAAAUCUUCUUGAAAAAAUCUGCAUUUCAGUUUCAAUUUAAAAAAUGAUUAUUAUUUUUAAUGUGUGAAAAAUCAUAUCUUACAUUUGUGUAUAAAUUUUCUCAAUAUAUAAGCUCCAUUAGAGUUUUAUUCAAAGUAACAUUUUAGAUUUUAGAUUAUGUUUGUAGAGUGAAAAUAGAUCGUCGCUUCUCUUCGAGCUUCAAUAUUUAGUUACUCGGUAUUACGUCUAAAAUAAAGCUGAGAGAUUUUUUAUCCAUUUUCUGAA